AAACUUUCAACAAUGGAUCUCUUGGCUCUCGCAUCGAUGAAGAACGCAGCGAAAUGCGAUAGGUAAUGUGAAUAGCAGAAUUCCGUGAAUCAUCAGA
Molecule: ribosomal RNA, 97 nt
Filed under: Racocetra castanea
Lineage: Eukaryota; Fungi; Glomeromycota; Glomeromycetes; Diversisporales; Gigasporaceae
Description: partial 5.8S ribosomal RNA
Rfam family: 5.8S ribosomal RNA
About the family: 5.8S ribosomal RNA (5.8S rRNA) is a component of the large subunit of the eukaryotic ribosome. It is transcribed by RNA polymerase I as part of the 45S precursor that also contains 18S and 28S rRNA. Functionally, it is thought that 5.8S rRNA may be involved in ribosome translocation.
Source: RNAcentral